UGGGGAAUAUUGGGCAAUGGGCGAAAGCCUGACCCAGCAACGCCGCGUGAAGUAUGAAGGCCUUCGGGUUGUAAACUUCUUUGAUCAGGGAAGAAACAAAUGACGGUACCUGAAAAACAAGCCACGGCUAACUACGUGCCAGCAGCCGCGGUAAUACGUAGGUGGCGAGCGUUAUCCGGAUUUACUGGGUGUAAAGGGCGUGCAGGCUGGCUGAUAAGUCAGAUGUGAAAUCCCCGAGCUUAACUCGGGAACUGCAUCUGAUACUGUUGGUCUUGAGUGCUGGAGAGGAUAGUGGAAUUCCUAGUGUAGCGGUAAAAUGCGCAGAUAUUAGGAGGAACACCAGUGGCGAAGGCGGCUAUCUGGACAGUAACUGACGCUGAGGCGCGAAAGCGUGGGUAGCAAACAGG
This 407-nucleotide ribosomal RNA is filed under the name Verrucomicrobiota bacterium. RNAcentral's name for it is "Verrucomicrobia bacterium partial 16S ribosomal RNA". It matches the Rfam family "Bacterial small subunit ribosomal RNA", at positions 355 to 776 of the family's 1533-position model. Lineage: Bacteria; Pseudomonadati; Verrucomicrobiota. The record is from RNAcentral.